UACAGAGGUGGCAAGCGUUGUUCGGAAUUACUGGGCGUAAAGGGCGCGUAGGCGGCCAUCUAAGUCAGACGUGAAAUCCCCCGGCUUAACCUGGGAACUGCGUCUGAUACUGGAAGGCUUGAGUAUGGGAGAGGGAUGUAGAAUUCCAGGUGUAGCGGUGAAAUGCGUAGAUAUCUGGAGGAAUACCGGUGGCGAAGGCGGCAUCCUGGACCAUUACUGACGCUGAGGCGCGAAAGCUAGGGGAGCAAACAGG
This 253-nucleotide ribosomal RNA is filed under the name uncultured bacterium. RNAcentral describes it as "partial 16S ribosomal RNA". It matches the Rfam family "Bacterial small subunit ribosomal RNA", at positions 524 to 776 of the family's 1533-position model. The record is from RNAcentral.